RNAcentral lists this ribosomal RNA (395 nucleotides) under uncultured bacterium. Its description in RNAcentral is "bacterial SSU rRNA". It matches the Rfam family "Bacterial small subunit ribosomal RNA", at positions 28 to 417 of the family's 1533-position model. The record is from RNAcentral.
GACGAACGCUGGCGGCGCGCUUAACACAUGCAAGUCGAGCGAUAACCAUGGCUUCGGCCAUGGGGAGAGCGGCGAACGGGUGAGUAACACGUGAGUAAUCUGCCCUCGACACUGGGAUAGCCCGGGGAAACCCGGAUUAAUACCGGAUAGCCUCUCGAGCUUUCGGGCUCGUGAGAAAAGAUGGCUUCGGCUUUCGGUUGAGGAGGAGCUUGCGGCGGAUUAGCUUGUUGGUGAGGAACGGCCCACCAAGGCGACGAUCCGUAGCUGGUCUGAGAGGACGAUCAGCCACACUGGGACUGAGACACGGCCCAGACUCCUACGGGAGGCAGCAGUGGGGAAUCUUGCGCAAUGGGCGAAAGCCUGACGCAGCGACGCCGCGUGAGGGAAGAAGGCCU